GGGGGGGGGAUGAAAAACAAGAGAAAGAUCAUUCAUUCAUUUUAUACACUAAUUAUCUUCUCGUUUGCGUUUUCUUCAUCUGAACACAAAGUAAAGAAACACCAUCAGCGAACACGUCGCAACAAAGAUAGCACACAUUCGCAGUAGACGAAACACCAGGUUGAUCAGCCGCAUCAGGACGGCCAUCCAUACGUACUGCACUACAUAGAUAAACCAAUAGAUAGAAGCCAUGGACGCCAUGGAAGCAUAUGCUUCCGGCCUUGACAAUGUAAAAAAUUAUCCAAUUUUUUUCCACAUCUCUCUCAUAUAAUGCAAAUAUAUAUAUAUAUAUAUAUAAACCUUGAGUAGGUGACCAGUGUUUAAUACUACUGAUUUUCACUCAAAAUAA
Molecule: long non-coding RNA, 388 nt
Organism: Brassica rapa (field mustard)
Lineage: Eukaryota; Viridiplantae; Streptophyta; Magnoliopsida; Brassicales; Brassicaceae
Source: RefSeq, a predicted model, not a curated record